GUUUUCCGUCACUCGGACCAUUUCGUACCUGCGAAAUGAAAGAUAUAGGUAUUCUAGAGCGACGCCCCCUUUAAGUGGCCCUGACAACCCCUUUGGAUUACCGUGUCAACGAGGCUACAAUGGAGAUAAUUAAGUUGUGGCAUCCAGGUAGUCCAGAUGACGCGAAGGUGCCGACCGUUGAGGGAAUUCAAAUUCGACGUAGUUGAGUCACAACUUAAAACGGCCAACCAAAUGAGCAAAGGACGUGCCACUUGAAGAUAAAGGACCACUAUUUGUUUCAUCCGAGUCGAAGAGAGCCAGGAAGCACCGACGAUAAGAUCCCCUAGAGUGACCUUUUUACAUGUCAAUACAAAAAUACGAGGACAUGUAACUUUCGUUUUGUUGUGAAGACGAAAAAGACUUGCAAGUCAGUUCCAGCACCGUCUUCCCAUCCAUUCUCUCUUGUUUUACUGACAGCAAUGAUUGCCGUCUCUGUGAAAGGAGCUAUGGGAGAUGAAAGAAGAAGUUAACAAUC
Long non-coding RNA from Daphnia pulex (common water flea), 514 nucleotides. RefSeq lists it as uncharacterized. NCBI's taxonomy places the organism in Eukaryota, Metazoa, Arthropoda, Branchiopoda, Diplostraca, Daphniidae. The record is from RefSeq and is a predicted model, not a curated record. The transcript has 7 exons.